AUGGGAACGCCGGGCUGACACUGCAAUCAUGGCUUCAAUGUUUGAAUUGCAGAAUAAUUAGAUGGACUAUCUAGUGUAUAAAAGAUAUCUAUGGAUAUGAUUGACAUUAAGUUAUAUAAGUAUAAGUAGGAGGUCUGUGUUCAUUCAGCAAAAAUUUGCCAAACUUUGUUAAUGUUCUGAAUAUAGUGGAGAAAAUACGAAGAAGAAAAACAUUAAUGUUUUGGACCAAUUUAUAUUUAUUGUAGAAAUAAUUUGGCUUUACUCCAUGUGAGAUUAUAGGGUUUAGUUGAUCUGCUAGUUCGUCUGAAGAGAGAACUAUCAAAGUGUUGAAAAUGCAUUGAAACUCGACCAAGGUCUACUAUUAUAGUGUUAAAAUUUUUUUUUAUAUAUAUUUAUAUAUUAGUUACUAUUUUUGUGCUGUAUGCAAUGUAUAUACCAUCGAGCAUUAAAUAGAAUCAAAUACACUGUUUUAUAUAUUGUCA
Paramuricea clavata is the source of this 482-nucleotide non-coding RNA. NCBI's taxonomy places the organism in Eukaryota, Metazoa, Cnidaria, Anthozoa, Malacalcyonacea, Plexauridae. The record is from the annotation of a GenBank genome assembly.